RNAcentral lists this transfer RNA (73 nucleotides) under compost metagenome. Its description in RNAcentral is "tRNA-Trp". The record is from RNAcentral.
UGAAGCCCUGGGGCACGGUCGGCGUCUCGCCGUUCCAGCCGGCGGGCGGGCUGAUCUUCAUGGCCGGCACCAG